RNAcentral lists this ribosomal RNA (253 nucleotides) under uncultured bacterium. RNAcentral's name for it is "partial 16S ribosomal RNA". It matches the Rfam family "Bacterial small subunit ribosomal RNA", at positions 524 to 776 of the family's 1533-position model. The record is from RNAcentral.
UACGAAGGGGGCUAGCGUUGUUCGGAAUUACUGGGCGUAAAGCGCACGUAGGCGGACAUUUAAGUCAGGGGUGAAGUCCCAGAGCUCAACUCUGGAACUGCCUUUGAUACUGGGUGUCUUGAGUAUGGAAGAGGUGAGUGGAAUUCCGAGUGUAGAGGUGAAAUUCGUAGAUAUUCGGAGGAACACCAGUGGCGAAGGCGGCUCACUGGUCCAUUACUGACGCUGAGGUGCGAAAGCGUGGGGAGCAAACAGG